Molecule: ribosomal RNA, 440 nt
Filed under: uncultured bacterium
Lineage: Bacteria
Description: partial 16S ribosomal RNA
Rfam family: Bacterial small subunit ribosomal RNA
Source: RNAcentral
CCUACGGGAGGCAGCAGUGGGGGAUAUUGCACAAUGGGGGGAACCCUGAUGCAGCGACGCCGCGUGGGUGAAGAAGCGCCUCGGCGCGUAAAGCCCUGUCAGCAGGGAAGAAAAUGACGGUACCUGAUGAAGAAGCCCCUGCUAACUACGUGCCAGCAGCCGCGGUAAGACGUAGGGGGCAAGCGUUAUCCGGAUUUACUGGGUGUAAAGUGGGCGCAGACGGCGAUGCAAGCCAGGAGUGAAAGCCCGGGGCCCAACCCCGGGACUGCUCUUGGCACUGCGUGGCUGGAGUGCAGGAGGGGCAGGCGGAAUUCCUGGUGUAGGGGUGAAAUGCGUAGAGAUCAGGAGGAACACCGGUGGCGAAGGCGGCCUGCUGGACUGCAACUGACGUUGAGGCCCGAAAGCGUGGGGAGCAAACAGGAUUAGAUACCCUUGUAGUC